Molecule: long non-coding RNA, 1210 nt
Organism: Rosa rugosa (rugosa rose)
Lineage: Eukaryota; Viridiplantae; Streptophyta; Magnoliopsida; Rosales; Rosaceae
Exons: 6
Source: RefSeq, a predicted model, not a curated record
UAUUUUUUGGAUUUUAGGGUUGUUUCUUUCUGGCUGGUGGAAACUUGGAUUUCAGUACGGGAUCAUGGCUAUUGGGUUUUAUGGGUGUUUUAGGGUCUUUCAUGUUCAUUUGGGUGAAUCUAAAAAUGUUCUCUUGAUAAAAAAUAAAAUCCCAGAAAUAAUAAUUUUCAUGUAGAACAAGGUGCAAUUAAGUUUUUUUUUUUCCUUGCUAGAAGCAUGUGCUUUGAAUCCAACACUUACUUUAGUCUCUGUUUUGCUGCAGUAGGAUUUCAGAAUUAAUAAUGGGCUAUAGACUUAUAUGUAUUGGAAUAUGGAUGAGCAUAAUUGUAGAAUCUUAUUUUAGUUGACCUAUGCAAAGCCUUGUUCUAAGCCAAUUUAAUUUAUAAUAAAAUUACAAUGAAUUCAGAUUUGAUGUUUCUCAUGGUAAAGUUUUUGAAUUUAAUAGCUUAGUGUUUAGUUGUUGAGCUAUUUCAAAUGCUAGUCGAACUUGAGCUAUUUCAAAUGCUCAAGUGUUCAGUCAUUGUUGAGAAGGUGGAGUCUAGGUCAUGCUCCCAGUGGAGGGUUCCCCCUGUUCCCAAUGAGUUUGAUUAAUUGGCUCAUAACAAGGUGUAUGGUGAUUUAGGAAGAUUGUGGUGAUGCAGCUGUGGAGACUUUGAAUCAGUUCCUUGGUUGGUGCAAGCUCUCAUUAUUUUUCGUAAGCUGCAUUUAAAACUUAUCUGAGAAGUUGAAAAAACACAGAAUCAAGCAAGAGGUCUUGUGCGAUAAAAAGAGCGUUUGGCUGUUAUGAAGACAAGUUCAUUCCAAUUCCUAUUCCUCUCAUUGAUCUCCAUCAUCAGGCAUUCCUACAAGUAAAUCUGGGUUAUCAUCAUCAAUUGUAUCCUAAUUUCUUUUGCUUCUGUUUUUCUCAGAUGCAGCAAGAGUAGGAGGCUUAGAUGGAGUAUUGAUACCUUCGGCCUGGGAUCAAAAAUGGUACUGGAAAUCAUAACGGCAAACACUGAUACUGAUCAAACCUUGGUGGGAGGGGCCGUAAAUUAUGUAUAGACAUGAUGUUCUAUUUUUUUAAGUUUGUAAAUAUGAUAAAGCGGGCUAUGUAAUUCAGUGAUGCAAUAGAAAUAUUUACUAUCAAUUUUUAUGAGGUUAAAUAAUUUAUUUAUUGGUGUAAUACUGGCAGUGGAAUGAUAAAAGAGGAUAAAAUUUUGGGGUGAAAUAA